RNAcentral lists this unclassified non-coding RNA (489 nucleotides) under Hevea brasiliensis (rubber tree). Lineage: Eukaryota; Viridiplantae; Streptophyta; Magnoliopsida; Malpighiales; Euphorbiaceae. The record is from RNAcentral.
UUUAAUAAGUUUUAGUUAUAAGAACACUAAUACAACAAAAUAAUUUUUUUCAAACUGCUUUUUUCUAUAGCAUUUAAAAUGAUGCUUUUAUUCAAAAAAGCAGUUUGGGCCCUUUAAACUCAAUGCCAAACAGGUACUUAAUUGCUUUACCAUUAUGUUUUGGAGAAAGGAGAGAGGGGUUUUCACCCCUUGGAGUGGGCUUGGGGUAAAUUGGAAUGCUAACAAACUUGGAUUUGGCAUAUCAGGAAGAAGAGGGACAAUAGGAGGUUGUUUCACAUAUUAUUUUUUGUGAAGUCAAAGAUAAUUACUAAAAUAUGAUAAUUUAUGUUUAUAGAUAGCACAGAGUCCAGACUCCAGAACAUUAUUUGCUCUGAAAAUGUGCUCAACAAACAUCAAACUUUGAAAGAGUCAACUUGUAGCCCUGCAUUAUGUUGAGAAAGAAAUAAUUUAAGAAAAUAUCAUUACCAAAUAACGUAAAUGAUCUUUGAC